UAAAGUCCGUUUUAAAACGUAAUCAGUUUUAAUCACCAAAGAGAUACGACUGCAAUUAAUCAACGUAUAUAGAGCAGUGGUCUUCUAUUUCUCAAAAUCAGGUUUACUUAUUCCCAGUAGCCCUCAGAGCUGACGUAUAUGCUGCCAGUACCGUGCAGGUGAACCAGCGCUGAAUGAGAUAAUACAGGAAGAGGAUGCCAGUGUCCUAACCCACCCCCGCACCGCUCCACGGUGUCACCCCCGUCAGCCAUGUUUAAUACUCCCUGAGGAAUACACCCCUCCUUCUCCCCAGAGUGGUAUCACCCAGCUAUCUAUGGAUGUUCAGUACCCCCUACUGGGCUACAGAGAACUCAUCUACUGGCCUGAUUUCUUAACCAAUCAGGCAGAAUCCUUCCUGGUUCCCAGCCCCGGAUGGAGGAAUGCAGGCCAGGCUUCCCAGCAUGACUGUGUGAGACCCCCAUGAGUAACUCCAUUCUCAGGGCCAGUGUGUUCACAGCGCGAACAUAGGUUCUGCUCUUAAUCACAGAAGAAUGGCUUCGAAAACUCUUCAUCAUGCAUUGACGUCACCAAAGAUCCACGUCUGUUCAGUAUUAAAAUUAUUUGGGGAAUACACUGUCAAACUGUCUUUUAGCCUACU
This is a long non-coding RNA of Brienomyrus brachyistius, 637 nucleotides long. RefSeq lists it as uncharacterized. The transcript is spliced from 3 exons. NCBI's taxonomy places the organism in Eukaryota, Metazoa, Chordata, Actinopteri, Osteoglossiformes, Mormyridae. The record is from RefSeq and is a predicted model, not a curated record.